GACGCCAGUCUGCAUGGAGCCGACCUUGAAAUACCACCCUUUAAUGUUUGAUGUUCUAACGUGGACCCGUAAUCCGGGUUGCGGACAGUGUCUGGUGGGUAGUUUGACUGGGGCGGUCUCCUCCUAAAGAGUAACGGAGGAGCACGAAGGUUGGCUAAUCCUGGUCGGACAUCAGGAGGUUAGUGCAAUGGCAUAAGCCAGCUUGACUGCGAGCGUGACGGCGCGAGCAGGUGCGAAAGCAGGUCAUAGUGAUCCGGUGGUUCUGAAUGGAAGGGCCAUCGCUCAACGGAUAAAAGGUACUCCGGGGAUAACAGGCUGAUACCGCCCAAGAGUUCAUAUCGACGGCGGUGUUUGGCACCUCGAUGUCGGCUCAUCACAUCCUGGGGCUGAAGUAGGUCCCAAGGGUAUGGCUGUUCGCCAUUUAAAGUGGUACGCGAGCUGGGUUUAGAACGUCGUGAGACAGUUCGGUCCCUA
Molecule: ribosomal RNA, 474 nt
Filed under: Escherichia coli
Lineage: Bacteria; Pseudomonadati; Pseudomonadota; Gammaproteobacteria; Enterobacterales; Enterobacteriaceae
Description: partial 23S ribosomal RNA
Rfam family: Bacterial large subunit ribosomal RNA
Source: RNAcentral